Molecule: long non-coding RNA, 349 nt
Filed under: Homo sapiens (human)
Lineage: Eukaryota; Metazoa; Chordata; Mammalia; Primates; Hominidae
Description: non-protein coding lnc-CHMP4C-8:1
Source: RNAcentral
AUGACAAAGAAAAGAGGGAACAACGGUUGUACCAAAAAAGGGCUGCAGCCACGUGCAGCCUAUUCUCAGCACAAACUGUAACCAAUGCAUGCCCAAGGACAAGGCCAUUAAGAAAUUUGACAUUCGGAACAUAGUGGAGGCCACAGCAGUCAGGGACAUUUCUGAAGCAAGCAUCUUCGAAGCCUAGUUGCUUCCCGAACUGUAUGUGAAGCUACAUUACUGUGUGAGUUGUGCAAUUCACAGCAAAGUAGUCAGGAACCGAUCCUGUGAAGCCCGCAAGGAUUGAACACCCCUACCCUGAUUUAGACCUGCAGGUGCUGCCCCACGACCCCCACCAAAGCCCAUGUAA